Molecule: transfer RNA, 76 nt
Filed under: Acidobacteriota bacterium
Lineage: Bacteria; Pseudomonadati; Acidobacteriota
Description: Acidobacteria bacterium tRNA-Lys
Rfam family: tRNA
About the family: Transfer RNA (tRNA) molecules are approximately 80 nucleotides in length. Their secondary structure includes four short double-helical elements and three loops (D, anti-codon, and T loops). Further hydrogen bonds mediate the characteristic L-shaped molecular structure. tRNAs have two regions of fundamental functional importance: the anti-codon, which is responsible for specific mRNA codon recognition, and the 3' end, to which the tRNAs corresponding amino acid is attached (by aminoacyl-tRNA synthetases). tRNAs cope with the degeneracy of the genetic code in two manners: having more than one tRNA (with a specific anti-codon) for a particular amino acid; and 'wobble' base-pairing, i.e. permitting non-standard base-pairing at the 3rd anti-codon position.
Source: RNAcentral
GGGCCGCUAGCUCAAUUGGAAGAGCAACAGACUCUUAAUCUGUAGGUUCUAGGUUCGAUCCCUAGGCGGCUCACUA